This 253-nucleotide ribosomal RNA is filed under the name uncultured bacterium. RNAcentral's name for it is "partial 16S ribosomal RNA". It matches the Rfam family "Bacterial small subunit ribosomal RNA", at positions 524 to 776 of the family's 1533-position model. The record is from RNAcentral.
UACGAGGGGGGCGAGCGUUAAUCGGAAUUACUGGGCGUAAAGCGUGCGCAGGCGGUUUUGUAAGUCUGUCGUGAAAUCCCCGGGCUCAACCUGGGAAUUGCGAUGGAGACUGCAAGGCUAGAAUCUGGCAGAGGGGGGUAGAAUUCCACGUGUAGCAGUGAAAUGCGUAGAGAUGUGGAGGAACACCGAUGGCGAAGGCAGCCCCCUGGGUCAAGAUUGACGCUCAUGCACGAAAGCGUGGGGAGCAAACAGG